CAGUAGCCACGGUAAUACAGAGGAUGCAAGCGUUAUCCGGAAUGAUUGGGCGUAAAGCGUCUGUAGGUGGCUUUUCAAGUCCGCCGUCAAAUCCCAAGGCUCAACCCUGGACAAGCGGUGGAAACUACCAAGAUGGAGUACGGUAGGGGCAGAGGGAAUUUCCGGUGGAGCGGUGAAAUGCGUUGAGAUCGGAAGGAACACCAACGGUGAAAGCACUCUGCUGGGCCGACACUGACACUGAGAGACGAAAGUUAGGGGAGCGAACGGGAUUAGAUACCCCUGUAGUCCCUGUCUCUUAUAC
RNAcentral lists this ribosomal RNA (301 nucleotides) under uncultured bacterium. Its description in RNAcentral is "partial 16S ribosomal RNA". It matches the Rfam family "Bacterial small subunit ribosomal RNA", at positions 509 to 807 of the family's 1533-position model. The record is from RNAcentral.